This is a long non-coding RNA of Caretta caretta (loggerhead turtle), 1566 nucleotides long. RefSeq lists it as uncharacterized. The record is from RefSeq and is a predicted model, not a curated record. Lineage: Eukaryota; Metazoa; Chordata; Testudines; Cheloniidae.
UCAGAGGGAAUGCAUACAUCAGGCUCCCUGACCACAACAGGAGGAAGGCAUCGGAGAGGGAGCCCUUGCUCAGACCUUGCCAAGAAUAAAACCGGUGCAUUUCCUGUUCUGUCUGGUAGUGAACAGGUCCACUUGGGGAGUUCCCCACCUUUGGAAGAUCAUGCAGGCUACUUCUAGAUGGAGCGACCACUCGUGGUGAGAGGAGAAGUCCCUCCUAACGUGGUCCGCCAGCAUAUUCUUGACACCAGGAAAGUGACAAGCUUCCAGGUGGAUUUCGUGGCUGAUGUAGAAGUCCCAUAGAUGGACUGCCUUUUGACAGAGAGCCGAUGAGCACGCUCCCCCUUGCCUGUUGAUGUAGAACAUCGAGGCUGUGUUGUCCAUCAGGACUUGUACCACCUUGCCCCAGAGGUGGGACAGGAAGACUGCAAGCCAGCCGGACUGCUCAGAACUCUUUGAUGUUUAUAUGCAACCUCACCUCCUUUGGGGACCACAUCCCCUGUGUCUGGCCGUUGCCGAGGUGCGCACGCCAGCCAAGGUCUGAGGCGUCCGACACCAACUCGAUGGAGUGAAGGGGUUUGUUGAAUGGAACGCCAUCCAGGACUUGCCCUCAGUUGGUCCACCAUUGCAGCAAGUAGGCCCAGGGAGCAGCAUGCGGCUUGAAGCACCGGGACAUCCCUUUGGACUUGAGACCUGGAGCUGCCCUUGACGAGCCAGUCAUCGAGGUAUGGGUAGAUCUGGAUACCAUGUCACCUGAGAUGUUAAUUGCCAGAUAUUCUGUCUUGUGUGCAUGCUUAUUUGCACACAGGCCCAUACUACCCACUGUAUGUAACUCCCGAGCAGUAUCCCCAUAAGGAGGAGGAAGCCCCAGAGUCAAGUCCAGCACAGAAGAAAGAACUGCAUUGCCAACUGCUACAUCAACUCUAGAGGCACUGACUAAGGCGUAGUGCCUGGAGAAGGUAGAAGGAUAACACCUUCUUGACAUCUUCAGCAUGGAACACAGUCUCCAGAUUGGAAUUAUGUGGUUUUGGAAAGAACACUGGCAGGUAAAUGACUUGACUCACAUGAAACUCAGAAGACACUUUAGGAAGAAACCUGGUGUGUGGUCGUAAAGUAACUUUGUCCUUGCAGAAUACUGUGAAAGGAGGGUGUCAUAAACAUAAAGGGAAGGGUAACCACCUUUCUGUAUACAGUGCUAUAAAAUCCCUCCUGGCCAGAGGCAAAGUCCUUUUACCUGUAAAGGGUUAAGAAGGGCAGGUAACCUGGCUGGCACCUGACCCAAAAUGACCAAUGAGGGGACAAGAUACUUUCAAAUCUGGAGGGGGGAAAAGGCUUUUGUCUGUCUGUGUGAUACCUUUGCCGGGAAAAGAUCGAGGAUGCAAGCCCUCCAACUCCUGUAAAGCUAGUAAGUAUUCUAGCUAGAAAAUGAGUUAGGUUUUCUUUGUUUUGGCUUGUGAAAUUCGCUGUGCUGGAGGAAAUGUGAGUUCCUGUUUUGUGUCUUUUUGUAACUUACGGUUUUGCCUAGAGGGAUUCUCAUUUGUUUUGAAUCUGACUGCCUGCAAGAUUAUC